Molecule: ribosomal RNA, 475 nt
Filed under: uncultured organism
Description: partial 16S ribosomal RNA
Rfam family: Bacterial small subunit ribosomal RNA
Source: RNAcentral
ACUCCUGCGGGAGGCAGCAGUGGGGAAUUUUGGACAAUGGGCGAAAGCCUGAUCCAGCAAUGCCGCGUGUGUGAAGAAGGCCUUCGGGUUGUAAAGCACUUUUGUCCGGAAAGAAAUCCUUGGCUCUAAUACAGUCGGGGGAUGACGGUACCGGAAGAAUAAGCACCGGCUAACUACGUGCCAGCAGCCGCGGUAAUACGUAGGGUGCGAGCGUUAAUCGGAAUUACUGGGCGUAAAGCGUGCGCAGGCGGUUUGCUAAGACCGAUGUGAAAUCCCCGGGCUCAACCUGGGAACUGCAUUGGUGACUGGCAGGCUAGAGUAUGGCAGAGGGGGGUAAAAUUCCACGUGUAGCAGUGAAAUGCGUAGAGAGGUGGAGGAAUACAGAUGGCGAAGGCAGCCCCCUGGGCCAAUACUGACGCUCAUGCACGAAAGCGUGGGGAGCAAACAGGAUUAGAUACCCUAGUAGUCCCAUGAU